RNAcentral lists this transfer RNA (72 nucleotides) under Thermoleophilia bacterium. RNAcentral's name for it is "tRNA-Val". It matches the Rfam family "tRNA". Rfam says of the family: Transfer RNA (tRNA) molecules are approximately 80 nucleotides in length. Their secondary structure includes four short double-helical elements and three loops (D, anti-codon, and T loops). Further hydrogen bonds mediate the characteristic L-shaped molecular structure. tRNAs have two regions of fundamental functional importance: the anti-codon, which is responsible for specific mRNA codon recognition, and the 3' end, to which the tRNAs corresponding amino acid is attached (by aminoacyl-tRNA synthetases). tRNAs cope with the degeneracy of the genetic code in two manners: having more than one tRNA (with a specific anti-codon) for a particular amino acid; and 'wobble' base-pairing, i.e. permitting non-standard base-pairing at the 3rd anti-codon position. The record is from RNAcentral. Lineage: Bacteria; Bacillati; Actinomycetota; Thermoleophilia.
GGGCGGUUAGCUCAGCGGUAGAGCACCUGCCUUACAAGCAGGAGGCCGGCAGUUCGAUCCUGUCACCGCCCA